Molecule: long non-coding RNA, 436 nt
Organism: Cucurbita moschata (crookneck pumpkin)
Lineage: Eukaryota; Viridiplantae; Streptophyta; Magnoliopsida; Cucurbitales; Cucurbitaceae
Exons: 3
Source: RefSeq, a predicted model, not a curated record
UAUAUGUUUGCGGGAGGGUGAUCUGCGAGAUUUGAGGAGGAUUGUGAGCGUGGAAAACGAAUCAGAGGGCGAGCCGACGACGAGCAUGUAGAGGAAUUAUCAAGGAUUUUGACAAAUUUUGGAACCCUUUGGAGAUGCAAAUCCGAACAGAAAGUGUCACGCUUUUCAAUGGAGUUUGAUGUAGCAGUCGAGGCAAAGGCACACGUGGGUUGUUGGCUAUAGAGAAUGCCGUCACAUUUGAGUUUGUAGUCUUCUUUGUGCUUUGCCUUUUAAUCCUGCAUUUCAUGUAUUUUAAAUCGUUUGAUAUCGUACCAAUGUAUUUUAGUGAUCUCUUUCUCAUCUCUCCGUAAAAGAAGAACUUUCAUUACUAUAUAAUUAAAUUUUAAAUUGCAUGCAUAUGUUUGAAUGUUGUAAAGUUUAAGUAUUUUAUUAUACU